CUACGGGACGCAGCAGUGGGGAAUAUUGCACAAUGGAGGAAACUCUGAUGCAGCAACGCCGCGUGGAGGAUGACACUUUUCGGAGCGUAAACUCCUUUUAUAUAGGAAGAAGAUGACGGUACUAUAUGAAUAAGCGCCGGCUAACUCCGUGCCAGCAGCCGCGGUAAUACGGAGGGCGCAAGCGUUACUCGGAAUCACUGGGCGUAAAGAGCGUGUAGGCGGAUUGAAAAGUCAGAAGUGAAAUCCUAUAGCUUAACUAUAGAACUGCUUCUGAAACUCUUAAUCUAGAAUAUGGGAGAGGUAGAUGGAAUUUCUGGUGUAGGGGUAACAUCCGUAGAGAUCAGAAGGAAUACCGAUUGCGAAGGCGAUCUACUAGAACAUUAUUGACGCUGAGACGCGAAAGCGUGGGGAGCAAACAGGAUUAGAUACCCCUGUAGUC
This 439-nucleotide ribosomal RNA is filed under the name uncultured bacterium. RNAcentral's name for it is "partial 16S ribosomal RNA". It matches the Rfam family "Bacterial small subunit ribosomal RNA", at positions 339 to 795 of the family's 1533-position model. The record is from RNAcentral.